Molecule: ribosomal RNA, 506 nt
Filed under: uncultured bacterium
Lineage: Bacteria
Description: bacterial SSU rRNA
Rfam family: Bacterial small subunit ribosomal RNA
Source: RNAcentral
GUUUGAUCCUGGCUCAGAACGAACGCUGGCGGCGUGCCUAACACAUGCAAGUUGAGCGCGAAAGGGAGCAAUCCCCGGUAGAGCAGCGCACGGGUGAGUAACACGUGAGUAAUCUUCCUUCGUGUCAGGAAUAACCACUGGAAACGGUGGCUAAUACUCGAUAAGCCCACAACCCCCUCGGGGGAUGAGGGAAAAGGGGGCGCAAGCCUCUCGCACGAAGAUGAGCUCGCGGUCCAUUAGCUAGUUGGCGGGGUAAUGGCCCACCAAGGCGAUGAUGGAUAGCUGGUCUGAGAGGACGAUCAGCCACACUGGGACUGAGACACGGCCCAGACUCCUACGGGAGGCAGCAGUGGGGAAUCUUGCGCAAUGGACGAAAGUCUGACGCAGCAACGCCGCGUGAGUGAUGAAGGUCUUUGGAUCGUAAAGCUCUUUCGGGAGGGAAGAAAUGGUUGUGUGCUAAUACCACACAGCCUUGACGGUACCUUCAGAAGAAGCACCGGCUAACU